UACAGUGGGUGCGAGCGUUAAUCGGAAUUACUGGGCGUAAAGCGUGCGUAGACGGUAGCGUAAGUCAGAUGUGAAAGCCCCGGGCUCAACCUGGGAAUUGCAUUUGAGACUGCUCUGCUCGGGUGCGGAAGAGGGAAGCGGAAUUUCCGGUGUAGCGGUGAAAUGCGUAGAUAUCGGAAGGAACACCAGUGGCGAAAGCGGCUUCCUGGUCCGACAACCGACGUUCAGGCACGAAAGCGUGGGGAGCAAACAGG
Molecule: ribosomal RNA, 254 nt
Filed under: uncultured bacterium
Lineage: Bacteria
Description: partial 16S ribosomal RNA
Rfam family: Bacterial small subunit ribosomal RNA
Source: RNAcentral